This 460-nucleotide ribosomal RNA is filed under the name uncultured bacterium. RNAcentral describes it as "partial 16S ribosomal RNA". It matches the Rfam family "Bacterial small subunit ribosomal RNA", at positions 338 to 795 of the family's 1533-position model. The record is from RNAcentral.
CCUACGGGGGGCAGCAGUGAGGAAUAUUGGUCAAUGGCCGGAAGGCUGAACCAGCCAAGCCGCGUGAAGGACGAAGGUGCCAAGCAUUGUAAACUUCUUUUGUCAAGGGACAAAAUCAGGCUCGAGAGCCUGACCGAGGGUACUUGAAGAAAAAGCAUCGGCUAACUACGUGCCAGCAGCCGCGGUAAUACGUAGGUGGCAAGCGUUAUCCGGAUUUACUGGGUGUAAAGGGCGUGUAGGCGGGACUGCAAGUCAGAUGUGAAAAUUAUGGGCUCAACCCAUAACCUGCAUUUGAAACUGUAGUUCUUGAGUGAUGGAGAGGCAGGCGGAAUUCCGUGUGUAGCGGUGAAAUGCGUAGAUAUACGGAGGAACACCAGUGGCGAAGGCGGCCUGCUGGACAUUAACUGACGCUGAGGCGCGAAAGCGUGGGGAGCAAACAGGAUUAGAUACCCCUGUAGUC